RNAcentral lists this ribosomal RNA (715 nucleotides) under uncultured bacterium. Its description in RNAcentral is "bacterial SSU rRNA". It matches the Rfam family "Bacterial small subunit ribosomal RNA", at positions 777 to 1500 of the family's 1533-position model. The record is from RNAcentral.
AUUAGAUACCCUGGUAGUCCACGCAGUAAACGAUGAAUACUAGCUGUCCGGGGCGAAUGAGCCCUGGGUGGCACAGCGAAAGCGUUAAGUAUUCCACCUGGGGAGUACGCCGGCAACGGUGAAACUCAAAGGAAUUGACGGGGGCCCGCACAAGCGGAGGAACAUGUGGUUUAAUUCGAUGAUACGCGAGGAACCUUACCCGGGCUCAAACGACACAGGAACGGUCCUGAAAGGGGUCGGCUCUACGGAGCCUGUGUCGAGGUGCUGCAUGGUUGUCGUCAGCUCGUGCCGUGAGGUGUCGGCUUAAGUGCCAUAACGAGCGCAACCCCCAUCGACAGUUGCUAACAGGUUAGGCUGAGGACUCUGUCGAGACUGCCGGCGCAAGCUGCGAGGAAGGCGGGGAUGACGUCAAAUCAGCACGGCCCUUACGUCCGGGGCGACACACGUGUUACAAUGGCAGGUACAGCGGGAAGCCACCUGGCGACAGGGAGCGGAACCCGAAAGCCUGUCUCAGUUCGGAUUGGAGUCUGCAACCCGACUCCAUGAAGCUGGAUUCGCUAGUAAUCGCGCAUCAGCCACGGCGCGGUGAAUACGUUCCCGGGCCUUGUACACACCGCCCGUCAAGCCAUGGAAGCCGGGGGUGCCUGAAGUGCGCUGCCGCAAGGAGCGCCCUAGGGUAAAACCGGUGACUGGCGCUAAGUCGUAACAAGGUACC